This 253-nucleotide ribosomal RNA is filed under the name uncultured bacterium. Its description in RNAcentral is "partial 16S ribosomal RNA". It matches the Rfam family "Bacterial small subunit ribosomal RNA", at positions 524 to 776 of the family's 1533-position model. The record is from RNAcentral.
UACGGAGGGUGCAAGCGUUAUCCGGAUUCACUGGGUUUAAAGGGCGCGUAGGCGGCCUUCUAAGUCGAACGUGAAAUCCCCGGGCUCAACCCGGGAACUGCGUCCGAUACUGGAAGGCUUGAAUCCGGGAGAGGGAUGCGGAAUUCCAGGUGUAGCGGUGAAAUGCGCAGAUAUCUGGAGGAACACCCGUGGCUAAGGCGGCUCUCUAGUACGGUACUGACGCUGAGACGCGAAAGCGUGGGGAGCGAACAGG